CCAGCGAGGGGAGGACGGAGGCAGCGGGAACACGGGGCUGGGAAGCGGUGCCAGGGGCGCUGGGGGUGGCCAAAUCACCAAAGCUCCGCGCCGCCGUGCCCAUCGCACCGGUUUUGCUGCUGGGAGAAGAACCCACGGCGGCGAGGCGUGUUUUUUCCCCCCAAAAACCCAUCAAUAGGGAUUGGAGCGCCCUGCAGCAAGCUGCGUGCCCCAGCAGCUCGCGUGCCCCUAAGCCGCCUCCUGCUGCCGCUGCUCUCACGCCCGGCUUCGAGCCCUCCUGCGCCAGCCCCGGCUCCUUUCCCCAGAGAGCAGAGCGGCGACGUUUCGUUUUCCUCCUGGUUUCUCUCCAAGAAAUGUUCUCCCAGUUUGUUUUUAUUUUUUGAGAGUAAAGAAGGAGCAGAUAGCAGCGUGUACCAGGGCACCACACCCUGCGGAUGCAGCACCGGAGCGCAGAGCGCGGUGAACAGAGAAAGGGGGCCUAAGGCGCACCGCAGCGGGGCACUUCUGCAUGCUACGGGAUAAAAUCCACCCGCGGCCAUUCACAGUUCUCCUUACCGCCUGAGAACGUGAGGCACUUGGAGGUGAAACGAGAGCCAGGCAAAAAAAAAAAAAAAAAAAGCCGGUCAGAGUGGUCCACUUUGGCCUCUUCAUCUUCCUGUAUGAGUAAUUAUCUUCUCCAGAAGUCCUUCUUGGCUUUAGACGGGAAAAAAAAAAAAAAAAAAUCCCCUAAACUUUUAAGGGAAGUCAGGAGCCGCAUUUAGCAGCCCUGGCUCCCGGCCAGCGUUUCUGCCUCUGCCCCUCGGCUGUGGAUUCAUCUGCCGAAAGCGUUCGCUGUGCGGGCGCAGCCCUCGCCCGCCGCUCGGCUGCCGCAGCCCCACCGGAGCCACCUGCCCCGCGAUCGCUCCUGGGCAAAGGGGAAGCUCUUUGCCAAGGGCAACCUUCGACCGCCGCCGCUCCGGGAGAGGCCACGCGCCCCCCUGGCGCAGCCACCCCAUCGCACCCAACUGGGCGCGUUUCGGAGGAGCGUGCCGUGCCUUCUCCCCAGCGCGGGGGCCGCUCGGCCCGGCCCCCAGCAGUGUCAUUUCCUGCCUCCCGGCCGUGCCGCUGGGACGUCUCGAGAAAUUGCUGAGCGGCAGCACCGGGCAGCAUCAGGAGACGGCACCGCGACGCGGGACGAUGAAUUUUUUGUUCGUGGCGGUCUUGGCUCUUCCUUUUCUGCUGGGGUAUGCUGAAGUGGGAGAAGAGGAGGAAAUAACGCAGUUUUUAUAUGACUACGCAUCUCGUUUUGGUGAUUACUUGUACGCAACCAUCGAGUACUACCCCGACAACGUCACGAUACUUCCCACCAUGUACAUGUACGAGGUGAGUACCCGAAGCAUUUCUCUUCGUAUUCCCAAAAAAACUCGGCUCCUCCCG
Molecule: long non-coding RNA, 1416 nt
Filed under: Anser brachyrhynchus (Pink-footed goose)
Lineage: Eukaryota; Metazoa; Chordata; Aves; Anseriformes; Anatidae
Description: lncRNA (ENSABRG00000008492.1)
Source: RNAcentral